AAAAUAUGAGCCUGAAUAUCCCGACAGAAAUACCCCGAGUAUACCCUGGAGGUGGAAGCAGCAGACAUGAACGGGGAGGGACUUUCUGCAUUAAUGAAAGUAAUGAUCUCUGUAACUCCUGACACGGAGCUCCCUGCUGCCCAAGGAGGAGGGAGGAGCAGGAGGAAUGCAGAUCCAAAGAUUCAUCAUUCUUCUUCAGAGAAAAUGUACCAAAUCUGUUACCUCUGUCUUCUGAAGAAGGAAAAAGGAGACGGAAGAGAAGCUGGAUUAUUCCUCCCAUCAGUGUUCCUGAGAAUAGCAGAGGCC
Long non-coding RNA from Poeciliopsis prolifica (blackstripe livebearer), 306 nucleotides. RefSeq lists it as uncharacterized. The transcript has 3 exons. Lineage: Eukaryota; Metazoa; Chordata; Actinopteri; Cyprinodontiformes; Poeciliidae. The record is from RefSeq and is a predicted model, not a curated record.